GACGAACGCUGGCGGCGUGCCUAAUACAUGCAAGUCGAACGCAGUGGGGACGGGUGAGUAACACGUGGGUAACCUCCCAUCAGAGGGGAUAACCCUUGGAAACAGGUGCUAAACCGAUACUGAUGGAUGGACCCGCGGUGCAUUAGCUAGUUGGUGAGGUAACGGCUCACCAAGGCCACGAUGCAUAGCCGACCUGAUAGGGUGAUCGGCCACACUGGGACUGAGACAUGGCCCAGACUCCUACGGGAGGCAGCAGUAGGGAAUCUGCGGCAAUGGGCGAAAGUCUGACCAAGCAACGCGGCGGGAGUGAAGAAGGUUUUCUGAUCGUAAAGCUCUGUUGUGAGAGAAGCGGUAUCUUACCAGAAAGGGACGGCUAACUACGUGCCAGCAGCCGCGGUAAUAC
RNAcentral lists this ribosomal RNA (403 nucleotides) under uncultured bacterium. RNAcentral describes it as "partial 16S ribosomal RNA". It matches the Rfam family "Bacterial small subunit ribosomal RNA", at positions 28 to 526 of the family's 1533-position model. The record is from RNAcentral.